CGGCGUCGAAGGACGAACGCUGGCGGACGUGCCUAACACAGUGCAAGUCGAACGGAGAGCAUAUGAAGUAUUCGGUACGGAAUGCGUUCUAGUGGCGAACGGGUGAGUAACACGUGGGCAACCUGCCCAGACUGGGGGAUAACAUUGUGAAAACAGUGCUAAUACCGCAUGACAGGGUUCCGGGCAUCCGGGACUCUUGAAAGGAGAAAUCCGGUCAGGGAUGGGCCCGCGUCCAAUUAGCUAGUUGGUGGGGUAACGGCCCACCAAGGCGACGAUUGGUAGCCGAACUGAGAGGUUGAUCGGCCACAUUGGGACUGAGACACGGCCCAGACUCCUACGGGAGGCAGCAGUGGGGAAUAUUGGGCAAUGGGCGAAAGCCUGACCCAAGCGACGCCGCGUGAAGGAUGAAGGUCUUCGGAUUGUAAACUUCUUUGAUCAGGGAAGAAAGAAAUGACGGUACCUGAAAAACAAGCCACGGCUAACUACGUGCCAGCAGCAGC
This 500-nucleotide ribosomal RNA is filed under the name uncultured bacterium. Its description in RNAcentral is "bacterial SSU rRNA". It matches the Rfam family "Bacterial small subunit ribosomal RNA", at positions 26 to 518 of the family's 1533-position model. The record is from RNAcentral.